Non-coding RNA from Gemmatimonadetes bacterium 13_2_20CM_2_66_5, 99 nucleotides. NCBI's taxonomy places the organism in Bacteria, Pseudomonadati, Gemmatimonadota. The record is from Rfam.
CCCAAACUGCAGGGGUGCCUGCGGCAGUCGCAGGCUGAGAUCACACCCUUAGAACCUGAUCCGGUUCGUACCGGCGAAGGGAGCUUCGUAUGACCUGUC